This 777-nucleotide ribosomal RNA is filed under the name uncultured Neocallimastigales. Its description in RNAcentral is "partial large subunit ribosomal RNA". It matches the Rfam family "Eukaryotic large subunit ribosomal RNA", at positions 23 to 635 of the family's 3401-position model. Lineage: Eukaryota; Fungi; Neocallimastigomycota; Neocallimastigomycetes; Neocallimastigales. The record is from RNAcentral.
GAGAGAUGUGUGAUGACGCAUAUCAAUAAGCGGAGGAAAAGAAACUAACAAGGAUUCCCUUAGUAACGGCGAGUGAAGCGGGAAGAGCUCAAAUUUGAAAUCUUCAAGGUUCUACCUUGACGAAUUGUAGUUUAUAGAAGUGUUUUCUGUUAGUGGAGUGGCAAAAGUUCUUUGGAAUAGGACAUCAUAGAGGGUGAGAAUCCCGUAUUUGGUCAUUCCUCCUAGCGUUGUGAUACACUUUCAACGAGUCGGAUUGUUUGGGAAUGCAGUCCAAAAUGGGUGGUAAAUUUCAUCUAAAGCUAAAUAUUGGCGAGAGACCGAUAGCGAACAAGUACCGUGAGGGAAAGAUGAAAAGAACUUUGAAAAGAGAGUUAAACAGUACGUGAAAUUGUCAAAAGGGAAGCGUUUGACACCAGUGUUGUUUUUCCGAAAAUCAAUUACGAAUGUUUUGUUUUUGAGGAGUUAUGACUUCAUCGGCUUGCUCCUUUCUUUAUGAAACUUUCUUAAUGCACUUUUCGGUUAACAAGUCAACAUCAAUUUCUUUUGUUGUAAAAGGGUAUGAGGAAGGUGGCUUUCUUUUCGGAGAAAGUGUUUAUAGCCUUGUAGCCUCUGCAAUCGGAGAGAUUGAGGUCUGCAGCGUAGAUCCUUCGGGGUUAGAUACAGUUUGUGCUAAGUUAUAGCUUUUCAUAGACAACUUGUUGACUAUGUUUAGUCUUGUAGCUUACUCGCUGAUGCUAUUUUACCUACGCUUAGGAUGUUGACAGCAGUAUAGACUGU